RNAcentral lists this ribosomal RNA (384 nucleotides) under Sphenomorphus sungaicolus (Malaysian riparian skink). RNAcentral's name for it is "partial 12S ribosomal RNA". It matches the Rfam family "Bacterial small subunit ribosomal RNA", at positions 794 to 1384 of the family's 1533-position model. The record is from RNAcentral. Lineage: Eukaryota; Metazoa; Chordata; Lepidosauria; Squamata; Scincidae.
GCUUAGCCCUAAACAUAGGUAAUACUAAUACAAUAUUACCCGCCAGAGAACUACAAGCGAAAAGCUAAAAACUCCAAGGACUUGGCGGUGCUUCAAAUCAACCUAGAGGAGCCUGUCCUAUAAUCGAUACUCCCCGUUUUACCUUACCCCCCCUAGACAAUCAGCCUAUAUACCGCCGUCGUAAGCCUACCUUGUGAAAGAAGCAAAGUAAGCAAAAUAGCUAAUAACAAAUACGUCAGGUCAAGGUGUAGCACACGGGGCGGCAGAGAUGGGCUACAUUUUCCCAAAUAACAUACGAAUAACACAUUGAAACAAUCUGUUUGAAGGCGGAUUUAGUAGUAAGAUAGACAAGAAAGCCUAUCUUAAACCUGCCCUGAAGCGCGC